GGGGGGGGGGGGGGGGGGGGGGGGGGGGGGGGGGGGGGGGGGGGGGGGGGGGGGGGGGGGGUGCGGGGGUUAGCGGCGGAGGGGUGGGGAACGAGGGGGGGACCGACCGAUAGGACGGGGAUGACUUCGGGAAGCCGGGGCGCAGACCGGAUGAUAUUGUGAACCGCAUGGUUACAAAGUGACAGACGGUCUUGCUGUCGCUUAUAGAGGGCGCCGCGCUGCAUUAGCUAGUUGGUAAGGUAACGGCUUACCAAGGCAACGAUUCAUAGACGACCUGCGGGGGUGAUCGGCCACACUGGCACUGAGACAAGGUCCAGACUCCUAUGGGAGGCAGGAGUAGGGAAUCUUCCGCAAUGGGCGAAAGCCUGACGGAGCAACGCCGCGUGAGUGAUGAAGGUCUUCGGAUCGUAAAACUCUGUUAUUAGGGAAGAACAUAUGUGUAAGUAACUGUGCACAUCUUGACGGUACCUAAUCAGAAAGCCACGGCUAACUACGUG
RNAcentral lists this ribosomal RNA (497 nucleotides) under uncultured bacterium. Its description in RNAcentral is "partial 16S ribosomal RNA". The stretch from base 56 to 497 matches the Rfam family "Bacterial small subunit ribosomal RNA", at positions 39 to 507 of the family's 1533-position model. The record is from RNAcentral.